RNAcentral lists this ribosomal RNA (404 nucleotides) under Fusobacteriota bacterium. RNAcentral describes it as "Fusobacteria bacterium partial 16S ribosomal RNA". It matches the Rfam family "Bacterial small subunit ribosomal RNA", at positions 355 to 776 of the family's 1533-position model. The record is from RNAcentral. Lineage: Bacteria; Fusobacteriati; Fusobacteriota.
UGGGGAAUAUUGCACAAUGGAGGGAACUCUGAUGCAGCGACGCCGCGUGAGUGAUGAAGGAAUUCGUUUCGUAAAACUCUGUUCUAUGGGAAGAAAAGGACUGUACCAUAGGAGAAAGCUCCGGCUAAAUACGUGCCAGCAGCCGCGGUAAUACGCAUGGAGCGAGCGUUUUCCGGAAUUAUUGGGCGUAAAGGGUGCGCAGGCGGCUUUACAAGUUGGAUGUGAAAUAUUGUGGCUCAACCACAAACGUGCAUCCAAAACUGCAAAGCUUGAGUUAAGGAGAGGUAAGUGGAAUUCCUGGUGUAGCGGUGGAAUGCGUAGAUAUCAGGAGGAAUACCGGUGGCGAAGGCGACUUACUGGACUUAAACUGACGCUCAGGCACGAAAGCGUGGGGAGCAAACAGG